This 459-nucleotide ribosomal RNA is filed under the name uncultured bacterium. RNAcentral describes it as "partial 16S ribosomal RNA". It matches the Rfam family "Bacterial small subunit ribosomal RNA", at positions 338 to 795 of the family's 1533-position model. The record is from RNAcentral.
CCUACGGGGGGCAGCAGUGAGGAAUAUUGGUCAAUGGGCGGGAGCCUGAACCAGCCAAGUCGCGUGAGGGAAGACGGUCCUAGGGAUUGUAAACCUCUUUUGUCGGGGAGCAAAAGACGCCACGCGUGGCGUUCCGAGAGUACCCGAAGAAAAAGCAUCGGCUAAAUCCGGGCCAGCGGCCGCGGUAAUACGGAGGAAGCGGGCGUUAUCCGGAUUUAUUGGGUUUAAAGGGUGCGCAGGCGGGAGAUGAAGUCAGCGGUAAAAUUGAGGGGCUCAACCUCUUCGAGCCGUUGAAACUGGUGUUCUUGAGUGAGCGAGAAGUAUGCGGAAUGCGUGGUGUAGCGGUGAAAUGCAUAGAUAUCACGCAGAACUCCGAUUGCGAAGGCAGCAUACCGGCGCUCAACUGACGCUCAUGCACGAAAGUGUGGGUAUCGAACAGGAUUAGAUACCCCUGUAGUC